This 164-nucleotide ribosomal RNA is filed under the name Jacobaea abrotanifolia. Its description in RNAcentral is "5.8S ribosomal RNA". It matches the Rfam family "5.8S ribosomal RNA". Rfam says of the family: 5.8S ribosomal RNA (5.8S rRNA) is a component of the large subunit of the eukaryotic ribosome. It is transcribed by RNA polymerase I as part of the 45S precursor that also contains 18S and 28S rRNA. Lineage: Eukaryota; Viridiplantae; Streptophyta; Magnoliopsida; Asterales; Asteraceae. The record is from RNAcentral.
CAAACGACUCUUGGCAACGGAUAUCUUGGCUCACGCAUCGAUGAAGAACGUAGCAAAAUGCGAUACUUGGUGUGAAUUGCAGAAUCCCGUGAACCAUCGAGUUUUUGAACGCAAGUUGCGCCCAAAGCCUUUUGGCCAAGGGCACGUCUGCCUGGGCGUCACAU